ACCUGGCUGGCUCAGUCGGUAGAGCAUGUGACUCUUGAUCUCAGGGUUGUGAGCUCCUGAGUUUGAGCCCCAUGUUGGGUA
This 81-nucleotide transfer RNA is filed under the name Ailuropoda melanoleuca (giant panda). It matches the Rfam family "tRNA". Rfam says of the family: Transfer RNA (tRNA) molecules are approximately 80 nucleotides in length. Their secondary structure includes four short double-helical elements and three loops (D, anti-codon, and T loops). The record is from Rfam by way of RNAcentral. Lineage: Eukaryota; Metazoa; Chordata; Mammalia; Carnivora; Ursidae.